CAAUAGCGUAUAUUAAAGUUGUUGCGGUUAAAAAGCUCGUAGUUGGAUUUCUGCCGAGGACGACCGGUCCGCCCUCUGGGUGUGUAUCUGGUUUGGCCUGGGCAUCUUCUUGGAGAACGUAGCUGCACUUGACUGUGUGGUGCGGUGUCCAGGACUUUUACUUUGAGGAAAUUAGAGUGUUUCAAGCAGGCACACGCCUUGAAUACAUUAGCAUGGAAUAAUAAGAUAGGACCUCGGUUCUAUUUUGUUGGUUUCUAGAGCUGAGGUAAUGAUUAAUAGGGAUAGUUGGGGGCAUUCGUAUUUAAUUGUCAGAGGUGAAAUUCUUGGAUUUAUGAAAGACGAACUAGUGCGAAAGCAUUUGCCAAGGAUGUUUUCAUUAA
Molecule: ribosomal RNA, 380 nt
Filed under: uncultured eukaryote
Lineage: Eukaryota
Description: partial 18S ribosomal RNA
Rfam family: Eukaryotic small subunit ribosomal RNA
Source: RNAcentral